AGAGGAGGUUUAUAACCUCCGCAAAUUGCAAUACAUUUUUCUUCGAGCAAAGACACGUGUUCCUCCCAAAUCAGAAAAAUUAGAAUGAAAUUUUCCGACAACCUAAGUUCAGUGUCGCAGCCUCAACCAAUCAAAAACCUAAGUUCAGUGUCGUAGCCUCAACCAAUCGAAAACCUAAGCCAACCAUCGCGUGCAGCGAUCUUCGUCGCGCCAUCCCAUCUCCGUCACGCCAUCACCGUAACGCCGUCGCGCCAUCUCCAUCACGCCGUCGCGCCAUCUCCGUCGGCGUUGUCUUCUUCGCUUCAUCUCAGUCGCGUUGUCUCUGUUUCCCCUUUCCGUCGUCGCGCCAUCUCUAGAGGCGAUUCGGACAUUGCUAUCGAAGGGUGCUGCCUCUAUUUCCUAUCCUGCUAGGGAAAUAAGAAAAGAAUGGUGAUUCGUCCUUGGAGAAGGUUGGUUAGUGUUUGCUGCGGUUUGGCAUUGUUAAGUUGUUGAAGGAGCGUUGUUGGUCUUUGAAGAAGGAGAUACAUCACUGCAGAGUUUAUAAACCUCAUCUUGUCAGAAUCAAUCCUGCAACAGAGAGCAUAUAUUGAAGGCUCCACAGGUGGUUUCUUUUGUUUUCUGUCCUUCUUCUCUUGCUCUCACCCUAGAUGGUGCUAUCAAAGAAGCAAUCAAUACAUUAAGGAGCAAUAAUGUUAAUGCAUUUGUUUUGGACCUAAGAGAUAAUAGUGGUGGUCUUUUCCCAGAAGGAAUUGAGAUUGCCAAAAUUUGGUUGGACAAAGGAGUAAUUGUGUAUAUUUGUGAUAGUCGUGGUGUUCGAGAUAUACUUGAUACAGAUGGAAGUAGUGCACUGGAAACAUCAGAACCCUUGGCUGUACUGAAGCAUGGAGCAUUCUUUUUUUCAGCUUUUCUUUCAUCAGCUCCCCAAGUGAAGUCCUGUGUUCUUUCUUUGCUACAGCAGUUGUUUCAGACAGUUCAAUAGCUGUUCCAAGAGAUAUCCCUAGAGUGGACAAUUGUAGCACCAUUUCCAUUUGGUUCUGCACCUUUUAUUGGCUUUCCACUGAGUGUUAUUAUCUGGAAUUUAUCGAGUAUCUCAUUGAAAGGUGCCAUACCUUGCUGUAUUGGCCGUCUCUUACAGUUGCAA
Unclassified non-coding RNA from Vigna unguiculata (cowpea), 1141 nucleotides. NCBI's taxonomy places the organism in Eukaryota, Viridiplantae, Streptophyta, Magnoliopsida, Fabales, Fabaceae. The record is from RefSeq and is a predicted model, not a curated record.